RNAcentral lists this ribosomal RNA (620 nucleotides) under uncultured Verrucomicrobiota bacterium. RNAcentral describes it as "bacterial SSU rRNA". It matches the Rfam family "Bacterial small subunit ribosomal RNA", at positions 77 to 680 of the family's 1533-position model. Lineage: Bacteria; Pseudomonadati; Verrucomicrobiota. The record is from RNAcentral.
UAGCAAUACGAUGGAAAGUCUAGUGGCGAACGGGUGCUUAACACGUGGGCAACCUGCCAGGAAGUGGGGGAUAGCUCGCCGAAAGGCGAAUUAAUACCGCAUGUGAUUAGAGAGGACAUCCUUUCGAAAUUAAAGUCGGGGCAACCUGACGCUUUUUGUGGGGCCCGCGGCCUAUCAGCUAGUUGGUGAGGUAACGGCUCACCAAGGCUUUGACGGGUAGCUGGUCUGAGAGGACGACCAGCCACACUGGGACUGAGACACGGCCCAGACACCUACGGGUGGCAGCAGUCGAGAAUUUUUGACAAUGGGGGAAACCCUGAUCGAGCGACGCCGCGUGGAGGAUGAAGGUCUUCGGAUUGUAAACUCCUGUCAUUGGGGAACAAUGCGCAAAUAUUAACUGUAUUUGUGUUGAUAGUACCCGAAGAGGAAGAGACGGCUAACUCUGUGCCAGCAGCCGCGGUAAUACAGAGGUCUCAAGCGUUGUUCGGAUUCAUUGGGCGUAAAGGGUGCGUAGGCGGCGCGGUAAGUCGGGUGUGAAAUCUCGGAGCUUAACUCCGAAACUGCAUUCGAUACUGCCGUGCUUGAGGACUGGAGAGGAGACUGGAAUUCACGGUGUAGCA